Molecule: long non-coding RNA, 478 nt
Organism: Artibeus jamaicensis (Jamaican fruit-eating bat)
Lineage: Eukaryota; Metazoa; Chordata; Mammalia; Chiroptera; Phyllostomidae
Exons: 3
Source: RefSeq, a predicted model, not a curated record
CUUAGAGUUGUUUGUGGUUCUCUGUGUAGCUGUCCCCCCUGUGACGUCAGGGGCAGUGAUCAUGCGCCUUUGUUCCCAGAGCACACUACACCGUCGACCUGUGCAGUCUUCCCUGCCCUGGACACCCACUUACAAGUUCUAGAGCUGAUGCUUUCUUAAUCUUUCCAGAAGGUGGCACAUCUGUGGAGACUGCACCCCUUGUUCCCCGACCCUGGAGGAGAUUGAUGAGGACACCUGCUUUCUUCCUGUUCGGCACAGAGAGAGAGGCACAAGGGUUGUGGGCUCAGCAGCGAGCAUCUGAAUCUCAUGGAGACAUUUCAGCAAGAGAAUAGGCCAGUUACUUGGUAGCCUGUUUUGCAGUUUGACACUGUCUGAUGGGCCCUCAUCAGUCGAUUCUGGUUACGCAUCUUCGGCGGGAGUGCCACGGAAGUGAUGCUGUAUCCUUCUCAGCUUGUAAUUUCCGAAGGGACGUGCUGUU